This 578-nucleotide ribosomal RNA is filed under the name uncultured bacterium. Its description in RNAcentral is "bacterial SSU rRNA". It matches the Rfam family "Bacterial small subunit ribosomal RNA", at positions 338 to 918 of the family's 1533-position model. The record is from RNAcentral.
CCUACGGGAGGCAGCAGUGAGGAAUAUUGGACAAUGGGCGCAAGCCUGAUCCAGCCAUGCCGCGUGCAGGAUGACGGUCCUAUGGAUUGUAAACUGCUUUUGCACAGGAGGAAACAACUCUACGUGUAGAGUCUUGACGGUACUGUGAGAAUAAGGAUCGGCUAACUCCGUGCCAGCAGCCGCGGUAAUACGGAGGAUCCAGGCGUUAUCCGGAAUCAUUGGGUUUAAAGGGUCCGUAGGCGGUUUAGUAAGUCAGUGGUGAAAGCCCAUCGCUCAACGGUGGAACGGCCAUUGAUACUGCUAGACUUGAAUUAUUAGGAAGUAACUAGAAUAUGUAGUGUAGCGGUGAAAUGCUUAGAGAUUACAUGGAAUACCAAUUGCGAAGGCAGGUUACUACUAAUGGAUUGACGCUGAUGGACGAAAGCGUGGGUAGCGAACAGGAUUAGAUACCCUGGUAGUCCACGCCGUAAACGAUGGAUACUAGCUGUUGGGCGCAAGUUCAGUGCUAAGCGAAAGUGAUAAGUAUCCCACCUGGGGAGUACGUUCGCAAGAANGAAACGUUAAAGGAAGUUAGACGG